This 487-nucleotide ribosomal RNA is filed under the name Magallana bilineata (tropical oyster). Its description in RNAcentral is "partial large subunit ribosomal RNA". It matches the Rfam family "Bacterial large subunit ribosomal RNA", at positions 1832 to 2597 of the family's 2925-position model. The record is from RNAcentral. Lineage: Eukaryota; Metazoa; Mollusca; Bivalvia; Ostreida; Ostreidae.
CGCUAGAAGAAGUAACUUUUAGUAAUACCUGCCCAGUGCGAAAUAUUAAUGUAAACGGCCGCCCUAGCGUGAGGGUGCUAAGGUAGCGAAAUUCCUUGCCUUUUGAUUGUAGGCCUGCAUGAAUGGUUUAACGAGGGUUUAGCUGUCUCUAAAUUUUUAAUUGAAAUUGUAUUGAAGGUGAAGAUACCUUCAUUUAAAAGUUAGACAAAAAGACCCCGUGCAACUUUGAAAAUUAACUUUAUUCAGGGGUAAAAGAUUUUUAGGUGGGGCGCCUAGAAAGUAAGCCUAACCUUUCUGAGUAGGAGUUUCUUUCAGGAGUUGACCCGAUUAUAUUCGAUCAUAGGAGAAGUUACGCCGGGGAUAACAGGCUAAUCCUUUAGUAGAGCUCGUAUUGGCUAAAGGGAUUGGCACCUCGAUGUUGAAUCAGGGAUGAUAGCUUCAAGGCGUAGAGGCUUUGAGAGUAGGUCUGUUCGACCUUUAAUACCCU